RNAcentral lists this ribosomal RNA (495 nucleotides) under uncultured bacterium. RNAcentral describes it as "partial 16S ribosomal RNA". It matches the Rfam family "Bacterial small subunit ribosomal RNA", at positions 28 to 507 of the family's 1533-position model. The record is from RNAcentral.
GACGAACGCUGGCGGCGUGCCUAAUACAUGCAAGUAGAACGCUGAAGGAGGAGCUUGCUUCUCUGGAUGAGUUGCGAACGGGUGAGUAACGCGUAGGUAACCUGCCUGGUAGCGGGGGAUAACUAUUGGAAACGAUAGCUAAUACCGCAUAAGAGUAGAUGUUGCAUGACAUUUGCUUAAAAGGUGCAAUUGCAUCACUACCAGAUGGACCUGCGUUGUAUUAGCUAGUUGGUGGGGUAACGGCUCACCAAGGCGACGAUACAUAGCCGACCGGCGAGGGUGAUCAGCCACACUGGGACUGAGACACGGCCCAGACUCACACGGGAGGCAGCAGUAGGGAAUCUUCGGCAAGGGACGGAAGUCUGACCGAGCAACGCCGCGUGAGUGUAGAAGGUUGUCGGAUCGUAAAGCUCGGUUGUAAGAGAAGAACGAGUGUGAGAGUGGAAAGUUCACACUGUGACGGUAUCUUAUCAGAAAGGAACGGCUAACUACGUG